CACGGACCAAGGAGUUUAUCGUGUGCGCAAGUCAUUGGGUGUUGAAAACUCAAAGGCGCAAUGAAAGUAAAGAAUCCGCAAGGAUACGACGUGUGAUCUGAGCAAUCACGAUUGCCUGGAGCAACAUGGCCCCAUUCUGGUCGCUUGCGACGGGGUGGAGGAAGAGCGUACGCGGUGAGACCCGAAAGAUGGUGAACUAUUCCUGAGCAGGAUGAAGCCAGAGGAAACUCUGGUGGAAGUCCGAAGCGAUUCUGACGUGCAAAUCGAUCGUCUGACUUGGGUAUAGGGGCGAAAGACUAAUCGAACCAUCUAGUAGCUGGUUCCUUCCGA
Molecule: ribosomal RNA, 330 nt
Filed under: Pratylenchus penetrans
Lineage: Eukaryota; Metazoa; Nematoda; Chromadorea; Rhabditida; Pratylenchidae
Description: partial large subunit ribosomal RNA
Rfam family: Eukaryotic large subunit ribosomal RNA
Source: RNAcentral